GUAUAUGUUCUUCCUUUUAGAUCUUCUUUAUUUCUUGUCAAUUUCUUGUGUAAUUUUUCUUUUCUUUUGCUAGUCUUGACUUUUUAUUUAAUUUUGAUUUCUUUUGAGAUCUCUGUCAAUCGAUUGCCUGGGUAAUGCAAGCUUCUUGUUCUUGUUGUACUUUCUUCGCCUGUUGAUUUUUUUAGUUAUUUAUAGGCGUUUGUUUUCUCUGAUUUUGUG
Molecule: unclassified non-coding RNA, 219 nt
Filed under: Hevea brasiliensis (rubber tree)
Lineage: Eukaryota; Viridiplantae; Streptophyta; Magnoliopsida; Malpighiales; Euphorbiaceae
Source: RNAcentral